CCAGACGGCUGGAUGGCCGCCCUUCGCACCGGGGAAACCCAGCGGGGGGAGGAAAGUCCGGGCUCCAUGGAAGCACGGUGCCGGUUAAUGGCCGGCGGGGGCGACCCUAGGGAAAGUGCCACAGAAAGCAAACCGCCGCUGCGGCUUCGGCCCCAUCGGUAAGGGUGAAAGGGUGCGGUAAGAGCGCACCGCGUCCCCGGCAACGGGGACGGCACGGUAAACCCCACCGGGAGCAAGACCGAAUAGGGGCGACCGGUCGGGACUCUUCGGAGUUGCCGGCAGGCGGGUUUCCGCGUCGUCGCCCGGGUAGGUCGCGUGAGGCGUCCGGUAACGGACGUCCCAGACGAAUGGCCAUCCAUCGCCCUUCGGGGCGGGGACAGGACCCGGCUUACAGGCCGUCUGGCGCA
This 407-nucleotide RNase P RNA is filed under the name Pseudomonadota bacterium. RNAcentral describes it as "Proteobacteria bacterium (cold seep metagenome) RNase P RNA component class A". It matches the Rfam family "Bacterial RNase P class A". From Rfam's summary of the family: Ribonuclease P (RNase P) is a ubiquitous endoribonuclease, found in archaea, bacteria and eukarya as well as chloroplasts and mitochondria. Lineage: Bacteria; Pseudomonadati; Pseudomonadota. The record is from RNAcentral.